This 253-nucleotide ribosomal RNA is filed under the name uncultured bacterium. RNAcentral's name for it is "partial 16S ribosomal RNA". It matches the Rfam family "Bacterial small subunit ribosomal RNA", at positions 524 to 776 of the family's 1533-position model. The record is from RNAcentral.
UACGAAGGGUGCAAGCGUUGUCCGGAGUUAUUGGGCGUAAAGAGCUCGUAGGCGGUUUGUCGCGUCUGCUGUGAAAACUGGAGGCUCAACCUCCAGCCUGCAGUGGGUACGGGCAAACUAGAGUGCGGUAGGGGAGAUUGGAAUUCCUGGUGUAGCGGUGGAAUGCGCAGAUAUCAGGAGGAACACCGAUGGCGAAGGCAGAUCUCUGGGCCGUAACUGACGCUGAGGAGCGAAAGCAUGGGGAGCGAACAGG